Molecule: ribosomal RNA, 200 nt
Filed under: uncultured bacterium
Lineage: Bacteria
Description: partial 16S ribosomal RNA
Rfam family: Bacterial small subunit ribosomal RNA
Source: RNAcentral
AGAGUUUGAUCAUGUCUCAGGACGAACGCUGGCGGCGUGCCUAAUACAUGCAAGUCGAGCGGACUUGAUGAGGUGCUUGCACCUCUGAAAGUUAGCGGCGGACGGGUGAGUAACACGUAGGCAACCUGCCUGCAGGACCGGGAUAACAUUCGGAAACGAAUGCUAAUACCGGAUACACGAUUUCCUCGCAUGGGGAGAUC